Molecule: non-coding RNA, 174 nt
Filed under: Paracellulophaga baltica
Lineage: Bacteria; Pseudomonadati; Bacteroidota; Flavobacteriia; Flavobacteriales; Flavobacteriaceae
Source: RNAcentral
CUAGUUGUGAGACUAGGACUGAAGGAAGCAGGACUACAAAACUCGGUACUGACGAACAGAAACCGUAUAUGAGGCAUAAUUAUCUGUGUAAGCAACCACAUCAUUGUAACGCCCUAAAGAGUACAAAAAUGGUAGUUAUGUAGAUACGGCGGUGAUCGAGAGAAAGAAGAUGUU